RNAcentral lists this ribosomal RNA (1317 nucleotides) under Arthrobacter sp. R1. RNAcentral's name for it is "bacterial SSU rRNA". It matches the Rfam family "Bacterial small subunit ribosomal RNA", at positions 26 to 1354 of the family's 1533-position model. The record is from RNAcentral. Lineage: Bacteria; Bacillati; Actinomycetota; Actinomycetes; Micrococcales; Micrococcaceae.
AGGAUGAACGCUGGCGGCGUGCUUAACACAUGCAAGUCGAACGAUGAACCUCACUUGUGGGGGGAUUAGUGGCGAACGGGUGAGUAACACGUGAGUAACCUGCCCUUAACUCUGGGAUAAGCCUGGGAAACUGGGUCUAAUACCGGAUAUGACUCCUCAUCGCAUGGUGGGGGGUGGAAAGCUUUUUGUGGUUUUGGAUGGACUCGCGGCCUAUCAGCUUGUUGGUGAGGUAAUGGCUCACCAAGGCGACGACGGGUAGCCGGCCUGAGAGGGUGACCGGCCACACUGGGACUGAGACACGGCCCAGACUCCUACGGGAGGCAGCAGUGGGGAAUAUUGCACAAUGGGCGAAAGCCUGAUGCAGCGACGCCGCGUGAGGGAUGACGGCCUUCGGGUUGUAAACCUCUUUCAGUAGGGAAGAAGCGAAAGUGACGGUACCUGCAGAAGAAGCGCCGGCUAACUACGUGCCAGCAGCCGCGGUAAUACGUAGGGCGCAAGCGUUAUCCGGAAUUAUUGGGCGUAAAGAGCUCGUAGGCGGUUUGUCGCGUCUGCCGUGAAAGUCCGGGGCUCAACUCCGGAUCUGCGGUGGGUACGGGCAGACUAGAGUGAUGUAGGGGAGACUGGAAUUCCUGGUGUAGCGGUGAAAUGCGCAGAUAUCAGGAGGAACACCGAUGGCGAAAGGCAGGUCUCUGGGCAUUAACUGACGCUGAGGAGCGAAAGCAUGGGGAGCGAACAGGAUUAGAUACCCUGGUAGUCCAUGCCGUAAACGUUGGGCACUAGGUGUGGGGGACAUUCCACGUUUUCCGCGCCGUAGCUAACGCAUUAAGUGCCCCGCCUGGGGAGUACGGCCGCAAGGCUAAAACUCAAAGGAAUUGACGGGGGCCCGCACAAGCGGCGGAGCAUGCGGAUUAAUUCGAUGCAACGCGAAGAACCUUACCAAGGCUUGACAUGGGCCGGACCGGGCUGGAAACAGUCCUUCCCCUUUGGGGCCGGUUCACAGGUGGUGCAUGGUUGUCGUCAGCUCGUGUCGUGAGAUGUUGGGUUAAGUCCCGCAACGAGCGCAACCCUCGUUCCAUGUUGCCAGCGCGUAAUGGCGGGGACUCAUGGGAGACUGCCGGGGUCAACUCGGAGGAAGGUGGGGACGACGUCAAAUCAUCAUGCCCCUUAUGUCUUGGGCUUCACGCAUGCUACAAUGGCCGGUACAAAGGGUUGCGAUACUGUGAGGUGGAGCUAAUCCCAAAAAGCCGGUCUCAGUUCGGAUUGGGGUCUGCAACUCGACCCCAUGAAGUCGGAGUCGCUAGUAAUCGCAGAUCAGCA